Molecule: ribosomal RNA, 431 nt
Filed under: uncultured bacterium
Lineage: Bacteria
Description: partial 16S ribosomal RNA
Rfam family: Bacterial small subunit ribosomal RNA
Source: RNAcentral
ACGAACGCUGGCGGCAUGCCUAACCCAUGCAAGUCGAACGAGACCUUCGGGUCUAGUGGCGCACGGGUGCGUAACGCGUGGGAACCUGCCCUUAGGUUCGGAAUAACUCCCCGAAAGGGGUGCUAAUACCGGAUAAUGUCUUCAGACCAAAGAUUUAUCGCCUUUGGAUGGGCCCGCGUUGGAUUAGCUAGUUGGUAGGGUAAAAGCCUACCAAGGCGACGAUCCAUAGCUGGUCUGAGAGGAUGAUCAGCCACACUGGGACUGAGACACGGCCCAGACUCCUACGGGAGGCAGCAGUGGGGAAUAUUGGACAAUGGGCGAAAGCCUGAUCCAGCAAUGCCGCGUGAGUGAUGAAGGCCUUAGGGUUGUAAAGCUCUUUUACCCGGGAUGAUAAUGACAGUACCGGGAGAAUAAGCUCCGGCUAACUCCGU